RNAcentral lists this long non-coding RNA (389 nucleotides) under Vigna radiata. Its description in RNAcentral is "long non-coding RNA (VRAD_LNC001031)". Lineage: Eukaryota; Viridiplantae; Streptophyta; Magnoliopsida; Fabales; Fabaceae. The record is from RNAcentral.
AUCAGUAGAUGCUAUCAUCACUACCAUCAGAAGCAACACAUAACCCUAACAAAAUAAAAUAAAAUAAAAUCUAAUAAAAUAAAAUAAAAGAAAAGAAAAAGAUUCAGAAACGGGGUUAGAAACUGGGUUGCCUCCCAAGUAGCGCUUCUUUAACGUCAUUAGCUUGACUCGGUAAGGCCCAAACAUCCCUCAGUAGGUGUUGAUUUUUAAGGUUGGUGUUCUUCCUUCCUUCAUGAUACCAAAAAUCUUCUUGUCACCAAAUCUAAGGAUCUUCAAUCUCAAGACCUCUGCUUGCUUUAAUAGUCUUGACAACCCAUAACCUAAUUUUGAAUUUCAUUGAUGUGCCCGGUUAGGGUUUGUCACUUUUCAAAUCAGGGUGUUGGUGAACC